Long non-coding RNA from Homarus americanus (American lobster), 249 nucleotides. RefSeq lists it as uncharacterized. The transcript has 3 exons. Lineage: Eukaryota; Metazoa; Arthropoda; Malacostraca; Decapoda; Nephropidae. The record is from RefSeq and is a predicted model, not a curated record.
UGAGGCGUCACUUGGUGCCGUCAACCAGUGGUGAACUUGGCCCGUGGCGAGUGAAAAUGAGCACCAAGCCCGAAAUGAAUCGCCGCAUUGCAGCGGUCGCUAAGAAGAAACGGGCAAAAAAGCCGAAAAACAACAGGCCCCAGGCAAGCAAGGCUCGAGAGGGCAAUGACAACAACUCUGCUAGGGGAAGCUGUACGCGAGACAGUGGCAAGCCCCGCAAUGGCUGCCCUUUAAUAGUAGAUCCAAGGU